UGAGAGUUUGAUCCUGGCUCAGGACGAACGCUGGCGGCGUGCCUAAUACAUGCAAGUCGAACGCUGCUUAAGAAGAAACUUCGGUUUUUUCUUAAGCGGAGUGGCGGACGGGUGAGUAACACGUGGGGAACCUAUCCAUCAGCGGGGGAUAACACUUGGAAACAGGUGCUAAUACCGCAUACGGCUUUUUUUCACCUGAAAGAAAGCUCAAAGGCGCUUUACAGCGUCACUGAUGGCUGGUCCCGCGGUGCAUUAGCCAGUUGGUGAGGUAACGGCUCACCAAAGCAACGAUGCAUAGCCGACCUGAGAGGGUGAUCGGCCACACUGGGACUGAGACACGGCCCAGACUCCUACGGGAGGCAGCAGUAGGGAAUCUUCGGCAAUGGACGCAAGUCUGACCGAGCAACGCCGCGUGAGUGAAGAAGGUUUUCGGAUCGUAAAGCUCUGUUGUCAGCAAAGAACAGGAGAAAGAGGAAAUGCUUUUUCUAUGACGGUAGCUGACCAGAAAGCCACGGCUAACUACGUGCCAGCAGCCGCGGUAAUACGUAGGUGGCAAGCGUUGUCCGGAUUUAUUGGGCGUAAAGCGAGCGCAGGCGGUGAUUUAAGUCUGAUGUGAAAGCCCCCAGCUCAACUGGGGAGGGUCAUUGGAAACUGGAUCACUUGAGUGCAGAAGAGGAGAGUGGAAUUCCAUGUGUAGCGGUGAAAUGCGUAGAUAUAUGGAGGAACACCAGUGGCGAAGGCGGCUCUCUGGUCUGUAACUGACGCUGAGACUCGAAAGCGUGGGUAGCAAACAGGAUUAGAUACCCUGGUAGUCCACGCCGUAAACGAUGAGUGCUAAGUGUUGGAGGGUUUCCGCCCUUCAGUGCUGCAGUUAACGCAUUAAGCACUCCGCCUGGGGAGUACGACCGCAAGGUUGAAACUCAAAGGAAUUGACGGGGGCCCGCACAAGCGGUGGAGCAUGUGGUUUAAUUCGAAGCAACGCGAAGAACCUUACCAGGUCUUGACAUCCUUUGACCGCCCUAGAGAUAGGGUUUCCCCUUCGGGGGCAAAGUGACAGGUGGUGCAUGGUUGUCGUCAGCUCGUGUCGUGAGAUGUUGGGUUAAGUCCCGUAACGAGCGCAACCCUUAUUGUUAGUUGCCAGCAUUG
Molecule: ribosomal RNA, 1146 nt
Filed under: Tetragenococcus halophilus
Lineage: Bacteria; Bacillati; Bacillota; Bacilli; Lactobacillales; Enterococcaceae
Description: bacterial SSU rRNA
Rfam family: Bacterial small subunit ribosomal RNA
Source: RNAcentral